CCUACGGGUGGCAGCAGUGAGGAAUAUUGGUCAAUGGACGCAAGUCUGAACCAGCCAUGCCGCGUGCAGGAAGACGGCCCUAUGAGUUGUAAACUUCUUUUGUACGAGGGUAAACGCAGACACGCGUACCUGUCUGAAAGUAUUGUACGAAUAAGGAUCGGCUAACUCCGUGCCAGCAGCCGCGGUAAUACGGAGGAUUCGAGCGUUAUCCGGAUUUAUUGGGUUUAAAGGGUGCGUAGGCGGUCGGUUAAGUUAGAGGUGAAAUCUCGAGGCUCAACGUUGGAAUUGCCUCUGAUACUGGUCGGCUAGAGAGUAGUUGCGGUAGGCGGAAUGUAUGGUGUAGCGGUGAAAUGCUUAGAGAUCAUGCAGAACACCGAUUGCGAAGGCAGCUUACUAAGCUAUUUCUGACGUUGAGGCACGAAAGCGUGGGGAGCAAACAGGAUUAGAUACCCGAGUAGUC
This 460-nucleotide ribosomal RNA is filed under the name uncultured bacterium. RNAcentral's name for it is "partial 16S ribosomal RNA". It matches the Rfam family "Bacterial small subunit ribosomal RNA", at positions 338 to 795 of the family's 1533-position model. The record is from RNAcentral.